This 1090-nucleotide ribosomal RNA is filed under the name uncultured bacterium. RNAcentral describes it as "bacterial SSU rRNA". It matches the Rfam family "Bacterial small subunit ribosomal RNA", at positions 9 to 1106 of the family's 1533-position model. The record is from RNAcentral.
GAGUUUGAUCCUGGCUCAGGAUGAACGCUAGCGGCAGGCCUAACACAUGCAAGUCGAGGGGCAGCAUAAUUAUUCGCAAGAAUAAUGGUGGCGACCGGCGCACGGGUGCGUAACGCGUAUGCAACCUACCUUUUACUGGGGUAUAGCCCGGAGAAAUCCGGAUUAAUCCCCCAUAGUACUGACAAUUCGCAUGAUGAGUCAGUUAAAGUUUCGGCGGUAAAAGAUGGGCAUGCGUCCUAUUAGCUAGAUGGUAAGGUAACGGCUUACCAUGGCUACGAUAGGUAGGGGGCCUGAGAGGGUGGUCCCCCACACUGGUACUGAGACACGGCCCAGACUCCUACGGGAGGCAGCAGUGGGGAAUAUUGGGCAAUGGAGGAAACUCUGACCCAGCGACGCCGCGUGCGGGAUGAAGGCCUUCGGGUUGUAAACCGCUUUCAGCAGGGAAGAAGCGAAAGUGACGGUACCUGCAGAAGAAGCACCGGCUAACUAUGUGCCAGCAGCCGCGGUAAUACAUAGGGUGCAAGCGUUGUCCGGAAUUAUUGGGCGUAAAGAGCUCGUAGGUGGUUCGUCACGUCGGAUGUGAAACUCUGGGGCUUAACCCCAGACCUGCAUUCGAUACGGGCGAGCUUGAGUAUGGUAGGGGAGUCUGGAAUUCCUGGUGUAGCGGUGGAAUGCGCAGAUAUCAGGAGGAACACCAAUGGCGAAGGCAGGACUCUGGGCCAUUACUGACACUGAGGAGCGAAAGCGUGGGGAGCGAACAGGAUUAGAUACCCUGGUAGUCCACGCCGUAAACGGUGGGCACUAGUUGUGGGGACCUUCCACGGUCUCUGCGACGCAGCUAACGCAUUAAGUGGCCCGCCUGGGGAGUACGAUCGCAAGAUUAAAACUCAAAGGAAUUGACGGGGCCCCGCACAAGCAGCGGAGCAUGCGGCUUAAUUCGACGCAACGCGAAGAACCUUACCAAGGCUUGACAUAUACAGGAAUAUGGCAGAGAUGUCAUAGCCGCAAGGUCUGUAUACAGGUGGUGCAUGGUUGUCGUCAGCUCGUGUCGUGAGAUGUUGGGUUAAGUCCCGCAACGAGCGCAACCCAA